Molecule: ribosomal RNA, 411 nt
Filed under: Triticum aestivum (bread wheat)
Lineage: Eukaryota; Viridiplantae; Streptophyta; Magnoliopsida; Poales; Poaceae
Description: partial small subunit ribosomal RNA
Source: RNAcentral
AUGCCGACGGUCGUCGAGAGGUUCAUGGACUGGGCGGUGUUGUGGAUGCCGAUGUACGGAGAGGCGAAGCUGCUGCUUGCCAUCUACCUCUGGCACCCCAGCACACGGGGUGCGGGGCACGUGUACGAUGGCUUCCUCCGUCCGCUGGUGGCGUGGCACGAGGACGACAUCGACCGGGGCCUGCUUGACCUAAGGGCUAGGGCGAGGGACGUGACGGCGUCACAACUCAAGGCGGCGACUGCCAUCGGUCAAGUGUGGCUCAUCGAGGCUGCUCGCUGUGUUUCGUCGCAGCUGCAGGCCGCGAGAUCAGGUCGGGAAGGCGCCGCGCAUUGACGAGUGAGCCAAUUUUCGGAUUGGACCAUAACAACGUGUUUCGGUCUCCGACGUCUAGAAGUAGUGGUAAAGUUUUGA